GAUUCCCCCAGUAGCGGCGAGCGAACGGGGAGGAGCCCAGAGCCUGAAUCAGUGUGUGUGUUAGUGGAAGCGUCUGGAAAGGCGCGCGAUACAGGGUGACAGCCCCGUACACAAAAAUGCACAUACUGUGAGCUCGAUGAGUAGGGCGGGACACGUGGUAUCCUGUCUGAAUAUGGGGGGACCAUCCUCCAAGGCUAAAUACUCCUGACUGACCGAUAGUGAACCAGUACCGUGAGGGAAAGGCGAAAAGAACCCCGGCGAGGGGAGUGAAAAAGAACCUGAAACCGUGUACGUACAAGCAGUGGGAGCACGCUUCGGCGUGUGACUGCGUACCUUUUGUAUAAUGGGUCAGCGACUUAUAUUCUGUAGCAAGGUUAACCGAAUAGGGGAGCCGAAGGGAAACCGAGUCUUAACUGGGCGUUAAGUUGCAGGGUAUAGACCCGAAACCCGGUGAUCUAGCCAUGGGCAGGUUGAAGGUUGGGUAACACUAACUGGAGGACCGAACCGACUAAUGUUGAAAAAUUAGCGGAUGACUUGUGGCUGGGGGUGAAAGGCCAAUCAAACCGGGAGAUAGCUGGUUCUCCCCGAAAGCUAUUUAGGUAGCGCCUCGUGAAUUCAUCUCCGGGGGUAGAGCACUGUUUCGGCAAGGGGGUCAUCCCGACUUACCAACCCGAUGCAAACUGCGAAUACCGGAGAAUGUUAUCACGGGAGACACACGGCGGGUGCUAACGUCCGUCGUGAAGAGGGAAACAACCCAGACCGCCAGCUAAGGUCCCAAAGUCAUGGUUAAGUGGGAAACGAUGUGGGAAGGCCCAGACAGCCAGGAUGUUGGCUUAGAAGCAGCCAUCAUUUAAAGAAAGCGUAAUAGCUCACUGGUCGAGUCGGCCUGCGCGGAAGAUGUAACGGGGCUAAACCAUGCACCGAAGCUGCGGCAGCGACACUAUGUGUUGUUGGGUAGGGGAGCG
Molecule: ribosomal RNA, 965 nt
Filed under: Escherichia coli
Lineage: Bacteria; Pseudomonadati; Pseudomonadota; Gammaproteobacteria; Enterobacterales; Enterobacteriaceae
Description: partial 23S ribosomal RNA
Rfam family: Bacterial large subunit ribosomal RNA
Source: RNAcentral